Catharus ustulatus (Swainson's thrush) is the source of this 7376-nucleotide long non-coding RNA. RefSeq lists it as uncharacterized. The transcript is spliced from 10 exons. The record is from RefSeq and is a predicted model, not a curated record. Lineage: Eukaryota; Metazoa; Chordata; Aves; Passeriformes; Turdidae.
AAAACAGGAUGUUGGUUCCUGUCACUUCCCUGCUGUCUCUUCAGUGGAGGAAACAUGCAGCUUGCACAUAGAUGCUCAUGCUUUAUAGAUUUUCUGUGGAGAAAAAACAAAACACUUUUUCUGAAGUCCCUGGAGAUAACCUUGUCUCUUCUGCCAAGUUUGUAGAUGAGUAUUUCCUGGUGUCUGCAAGAGUGAUUGUCACCUUAGGAUAAAGUAGGGCAAAUCAAGGGAGCUUUUUUUCCUUCAAGUUAAAAAAAUAUUCUCCAUUCAAAUGCACAGAAGAAAUAUGUGAAUGAAAGCAGCAUUUUCAGGUUUGUGCAUAAGGUACAGACAAAGAUCUGCAUGCUCUAGGCAACACAAGCAUUGAUUUCUAGUGUCUCAAUGUGAAUUUCACAUAGUCUCAAAUAAGCUAAUUUCUACAAUUACAUGCAGGGAAAGAGAAGAAUCCACUCUCAUUUGAGCACUGAUGGAGAUCAGGCUCCAGCACCUGAAUAUAACAGAUGCUACUUUCUUGUGGCAUGGUGUGAAAAUCACAGAAGGGAUUAUGAUUAGAUCUGCCCAAGAUUUUGGGCCAUGUAAUAGCCAGCAGGGCAGCAAUGUCAGGUUUACUCAGAUGAUAGCAAAGCUGAAUGAACAGAGAGACUGAAUUAUUUAUUCAGAAUUAAGAGCCAUGUUGGCACCAAGGCUAGCAAUAUGGCUCUGAACAUUUGAGAACAUAAAGCUUAAACAAUCUGGCAAAAGAUUCCUGGCCCUUUCUCUCUGCUGGCCCAUGCUACUCAACUUGUGUUCCCUCUUGGUUCUUUAUCUCUUAUCUGCCUGUUGCUGCUUAUGCUUAAAAUAGAAUUAAAUAAGUCACUGUAUUGCAUGAUUUUUAACCCAAUAUGUUGAUAGCCAAUGCUUUCCACAAAUCAUCUCUUUCCUUGGACAGAGCCUGUCUUGCUAGACACUCUUCAGAGGGCUCAACCUGUUCUGCAUACAUCUUCAUCCCAGAAUUUUGGGGGUAGGAAGCUGCAGUUAUGUGCAUCUUAUUAAUGGGAUUUCUGCACUGAGAAGCAGUUGAGUUUGCCUGAGUUAAAGCUUUUUAUUUGUCUGAUCUUAACUCCCCUGGUCCCAGUACCAGGUGCAACUUUCCUCUGAAAAGGCACAUUUCCAUGGAUCAGAGGGGGAAAAUCCUGCAUAGAUCUCCUUUCCAUGUUUAGCUUGUUUGCCUCUGAAGUGUGACACAAGGAAACCUGUCAGGAAUUAAGUCACAACUGAAAAUGCACAAUGGAAACCUCCUCUUGUAAAUUAGCUUUGACUCCUUCUAUCAGAAAAGAAGGACAGCAGUGUGUGAUUGGUUUUACUACAUCCACUCUUGUCUUCUUGGUAUUUAGGAUAUUGUGAGAAGUACAGAAAGCAAACACUCAGGCAACACAAAGGUCAUGGUGUCAGUUUGGAUAGGUGGGAGGAACUGGAUUGUGUUGGCAGUGCUUUGGUUGUUGUUGGGGAAAACACAACUUUCAGUCUGGAAAGCAAGUUUCUCUGUAGCUAAGUUGGGCUCUUGGUCCUGAAGUAGAAUACUGAAGACAUAAGUGAAGGUUGUUUUCUUCAUGCUUUUGUUAAAUAAGCAAUAAAUACCACCUUAUCCAUUUCACUAUGUGACCAGUCCUAUUUCCACACACUUCUGAUUUGACCUGUGUUAACAGAACACAAGCUUCCAGACAAGGGAGCACAGAGUGUCUGUCUUGCUGAAUUCCUUCUUUAGCCUGUGAAACAGCAUAUGUUUGUUUUGGCUGGCUGUGUGUGGUAUUUUUUGCUCACUGGAAAAGCUGACAAUGUUUCAGCCUCUGUACUGUUUUUUCUUGGUUUUUCUUAAACUUUUCACCUUCCUCUUUCUUUCCUAGACUAGCAGAAAUCACCUAAAAAUCAUCAGGAAAAGGUGGUAUAUUCAUGGAGGGGGAUGGGAGGCUGGGGUGUCCAUUGCUUUUUCCAGAGUUUACCUGUAGAAUUAGUCCCAUCAGCCUGUGUAAAUUGGCUCGAUUUUUAAUGUUCUUUGGUUUUCUCAGUUCCUGUGUUUUGCACAGCAUAACCCAAGUGUUUCCUGCACUAGACUCCCUUUUCAGCUGAAUUUAACUUAAAUAUGGAGUAGAUAUUCUGUUCCAAACAGAAAUCAAGUGUGAUCAGGUAAGCAAUUUAUUGCCUCUAUAUUUUGUUAAACCUUAGUUGCAAGCAAGAAUAGAUUGGUCUUAUCGACCUAAAACAAUCUCCCGUCCCAUGUCAGCAAUGGUGUGGUUAACACGAGUAGAGUAUAAAAAAGCUAAAUACACAAGUUAAGAUCUGUAAUUCAUUCCUUCCUUGAGAAGUACCCUUCCCAUUGGGAAUUAAGUCCUCCAUAAGAAGUGUGGCAGUAUCUGACUUAUUAAGGAAUAUAAUAGAGCUGAUUGAAGAAUGACCUCUAAUCUGAAGUUGUGAACUGAUCUAAAGCACUGAGUUCCUGCUUGAGUAACUGAAUGAACUGGCUGGACUUGGAAAUGAGACAAAGUGCUGAAUAUAUAAUUUUAUAUAUAUAAGUAAACAAAGCCAAAACCUGGAGGUGUGAAAGCAGCACUGGGGAAUUACUUAAACAUCAAAGCAGGAUUUUUUUGAAUGUUUAACUGUUCAAAACCUGGGCCCACAUAUUUUGGUUUUAGCAUGGGAAAAAAGCCCUGGUAAAUUAUUUCAUAGUCUGCCUUUGAUCAAAGUUAUGAAAUUAUGUCAAAAUCAAUCAUAAGAAAACCUGGGAUUGGGGAUGUAAUGUUUAUUUUUAAAUAAAAAGGUAUCCUUUUGACCUGCAGAAGGUUUAUUCCUUUUAGCAUAAUACUUGAAGUUUUAUUGUCCUGUUAUUCCAAGAAUGAGCAAGUGUUGAAGGCAGUGUAAAGGAUGUAACAACACAGCCCACAAGAGGCCAGUAUGCAUUUAAAUUUUGAACUAUUCAGAGCCAUAUUUGUCCAGUGUCAAGGGACCCAGGCAUCUUCUUUGGAAUGCAACAAGCUACAUAACUUCAUGUGAGCUGAGGCACACCGAAGGGUCAGUAAUGGUCAUGAAUGCUCCUGUGGUAGAAAUGACCAGGACCUUAUCAGCUGGGAUAAAAAGGUAACUUUUAUAUAAACCUAUAUUCUCAAGGAUGUCAUAGCACUUUGUGUUCUGUGGCUGUGGUCAAACAGAGUAGAAAUUGGCUACGAGUCUAACACCUUUAGACUCGCAUCUGCUUUGCUUUUCCUUCCCUUGCAAAGAAAGCAGCUUUAUGAAGUAUCAAUCCAAAUUGGAACUAAUUUUCGGGUUCAAAAAAUCUGUGGCCAAGGAUGAAAAUUUUGAUCAGGCAAAAGAAAAUCUAAGUAAAGGGAAUUCCAUUUUUGAGGUGAAAGGAGGAACUGUAAAGGUGAUUGCCUGACUUUUAAGCCAUGUCAGCGUAGCUUUUGUAGGAUUUGAAAAUCCAAAUCUGAAGGCAUGCAGAGCAGUGGAGCAGUGACCCAAGUAGCAUCCUAUAUCCCUUCUCAUUUUAGCACUGGGUGCUGCUGCUGUGGAUUUGCCCCACAAUGGCUGAGAGGCAAAUCCACAGCAUUCUGGAAUUACAGGGUUACAUCUUGUCUCCUCCUAACCAGCCCAAAUCAAUGUUGUCACUAACACCCAUGGCCAUUGGUACACAGGAGUGAAGGGGUGAGAACAGGACUGAGAGAGAGGGGGACAAAGGGGGUGGGAACACCUUUGGGCAAACCAGGCAUAAGGAAACAGAGCAUUUGUGUAUUAUACAGGCAACCUGGAGGCAAAAGCCAGCUCAGCAUGGACAUUGGAGAUAUAUAUAUAUGUAUUCUGUUAAGGAAAAGGAUCUCCUUGGGAGGAUGCCCAAAACAGAGCACUUUUGGCAUAUCUGUAAUUGCUGCUGGCAACAAAGAAAAUUCUCAAGGUCAUAUGGUAUUAACAUUGUCCUUCCUGUGGGCUGUAUUUUCUAGGUUGCUGUGCAUAAUCCUGGCUUUAUCAUUUGUGCCCCCAAAUCUUGAAAAGGCUUUUGGGCUGAUUUCCUUCUGCCCCAAGAUCUUCCUGCAGCACAAACUACUCUGUCAGGGGCUGCAAUUACUGCAUCUAUCUUGUCACAGAACACUUUUUAAAACUAGAGAGCUGCAGUUUCUAGAUGACUAAUACUCAUCCCUCAAGGACUACAAUCAAAUAUUCCAGUUUCUCCAAACUGCCCUUCACACAUAGACCAAUCUUGGAUUAUCUUGGCUUAAAGCAGCCUUCUUACUGUCUUGUUACUGCAGUGAGGACAAUGACAGUUCCCAGCCACAUCCACUGGGAGCAGGUAGUGCACAGGCCCUUGUGGAAUUUACAAAUCCCUCUUUAUGUGAUAUACUUAGGAGAGCUAGGUAGUUCCUUGAUUAGAAAGAAGUUCACUGAAAUAGUAUAAAUGAAUAAAAUGGAGUAACUGAAGCUGGUAGUCAAGUUUAUCUUGAUUUUCCUGGUGCAAAGCAGAGACAUUUUGCUGUUAACUACAGAAAUAAUCCACCUUCAGAGUAGUGUUCUCAUGGAGCUUUAGAAAUUGGUAUUCAGGGACAGCUCCUUGCUGAUCAGUUUUUGGGGGAAAAAAACAGUUUAAGUAAAACUUAAUGACUAGUUAAUAUUAAAAUAAACAAAAUGGCUUCAUUCUGAUAGAAAAAUGUAGCUCUUUGAAGCUUUCUGCAAUUAAGCAGUUUAAAGCAGAAGGAUUUACCCUAACUAACGGACAUUUACCUAGACAACGGGCAUGAGCAGCACUGAAGAGUUUAAUGCAACCUGUGCAGAACAGAGUAAGUUCUAAUGGGCUUUUUGACACAUCCAGCUGUGAAGCCUUCUUGAAUGACAUCUGACAUCAGAGCACCUUACAGCACUCCUGCACAGCAAGGCAGCCCCAUUUUCUCAUUGUCUAGAUGACAAGAUAUAUACAGAGAGAGCAAAUCACUUGCCCAGGAUCCUGCAGAAAUUCAGGAAAGAAACGAGGAGCUGAUCAGCAGCCUCCUCUUCCUGCUGCACAAACCUUUCUCUCUCAGGAGUUUUAGGUGAUGAGCACUUCUCUGUGUAGCUUUAUGGUUUUGGGACUUCUCGUUUUAUCUACUCUUUCACAUUCCUGGUAAAUAAAUCCUGCAAACAAUGCCUUGCUGUUUACUUAAUUAACAUACUUUUUCUCCUACCAAAGAAGUGUUUUCCAGGUAGUCUUCUGCCAUGUUGGAGCCUUGUAGCAUGCUGAUGUAUUCCUUUGAGAUCCUUGCUGGAGAAACCCUUCCUGAAUUUGUGGGAAAACUUUAUCCACUGGAAAAAAACAAGGAUGUGCUCCCUAACUCCUGACAGAACAGGAACCACUAAAAGUGAACAGCUGACAGCAGUGCUUGGAAUCCCCCGGGGUUCCACUUCAGUUUGUCAGCAAUCUCAAGAACACCCACGUGAAGGGGAAGAGAAAAGCCUGCCUGGAGUGUGCACUAACUCCUGAAAAGUGUCACCCUGAAGGGGAUGAAGAAUGGAUGAGUGAUAGAGAGGUCUCCUGAGUACACCAGGAGGCAAGAAGGGAAGAGAGCAGAGUUUACCAUUUAAUGCUGCUGAGCUGAGUGACUGGGGAGGGUUGCACAGUGAUCACAGGAUGCACAAGGCAGUGACCCUCAUGGGCAGUACAGCAGUGCCAGUGCAGCUGUGGGAGUGACCCAUGGGACUUGGACUUGACUGCAGUCUGCUGAGGACCAGCAGCACAACAGGAGGCUGGCAGAUGGCGCCAGAUGGGCAUUCAGUGUGGCAAAAAGCCUCUUCCUCCAGCUGGAGCAAGGCAGCACGGAUAAGACCGCAAGCAGGACAAACAGGAGUACAGAUUCUCUAAUUAUUGAAGAAUCUGUCCUCGAGCUUUUUGCAACACACAGUGUCACUGUGAAGAACCAAAUGCACUGCAAGCAUCGAGGUCCCUUCCAAGGCAAAGCCAAGGCCCAAAGUCACAUCAAGGACAGCAUGGAGGAGACAGAGGAAGAAAACAUGGUGUUGGAGAAAUACAGUGACUGCAUUACAACCAAAACCAUGGUUUGGCAUCUUGAAAUGGGACAAGCUCUGUGUUCAUAUCUGCACACUGUGGACUCUCCUGCUUUCACAGAGACUUCAGAACUGCUGAAGGUGGUGGAUUUUUCAACUCCAGUCCUGGUUUAGCCUGGAAGGGAACCAGACUGUGGAGAUGUUCUGUAAGGAUACAAAUUAGAGACAUGAGUUGAGGACACCAAAAAAUAGGCAAAAUGCACCAAGAUGUCUAUCUCUAGUACCACUUACAGACAAAUAAUACUUCUGAACCCAAGCCAUGAGUGAAGCUGGUAUGGGAGAAGCAGAGUUAUUAGAGGAAGGAAUUCUAGCAAUGUCACCUUCAGAUCUACAUGAACUCAGGCUCCACAGAACCUUGCAGAAUGAGUCCCACUGUAAGAAGGUACCUCUCCGUUUAAAUUGCACGAGUUGGUCUGUAUCACACCAGCUGUUUUCCCUCAGCUUUCAAGAUGAUCAAACUAAUGAGCUGUAGCAUGAGGUUAUGUGGAAUCUCCCAGGCCAUGCCAUCUGUGUGCACUUUGCUGGGGACAAAACUGCCAUUGCCUUUGUAGACUGAAGAAAUAUCCAGCACUGGUGUCUUUGAAGCAUUUUUCUAUCGGGCUGAUUCUGUACAAGUAGCUCCUGUAGCCACAGAUACCCCUGUUGCGCUCAAAGUUCGGGUUUGUUUCAUUGCUGCCCAAGGCAGGAAGCAGAACUUUAUAGUUGCAUUUGUCUUGGACAGUGCUCCCCACCACCACCAGUGGUGUAGCAAAAAGAGGGAGGACAAGAACCAUUCCCAGUCCAGAUCCACAGCACCAAGUGAUUUGUUUCUGACCUGAUCUGCAUUAUCCUCAAGGAGAGUUGCAGAGAUGUCCUUUACAACAUUAACAUGCAAGCUGCAGGCACAGAGAAGGUCUACAGCAAUAAAUACCCUGUCACAGGCCUGCUCCCAGGGAGGAAAUACUACUUCUGAGUCAUUGUCUGCAAUGACAGUGGGGACACUGACCCUCUGGAUUCACAGGAACAAUGGAACAUCUCCAAACACAGAGAGAUUCUGGCAUGCCACCUUCUCAACUCCAGCCAGCCCAGAUGCUGUGACACAUCCCAGGAAACCUAACCUGACCCAAUUACCUCUCUAACCUCAAGAGAAGCUCAAAAGAAAGACUCAUGCAUGAUGCGAUUCCUCAAACCAUGAUGGAUUUUAGUCAAGGGAUGAGUGCUUCCCAGCACCCAGGGCUUAAGCUGUACAUGAAUAAACAAAAUAUGUGGCCCAGCAACUCAUUAGUAAAUAAAGAGGGUAACAGCUGGGCACUGUGGCAUCCCUUUAGGACUGACACCGU